Molecule: long non-coding RNA, 1639 nt
Organism: Liolophura sinensis
Lineage: Eukaryota; Metazoa; Mollusca; Polyplacophora; Chitonida; Chitonidae
Exons: 4
Source: RefSeq, a predicted model, not a curated record
CUGAUCGCCAAGCCAAGUAGCAGAAAGUGCCUGCCUUAAAAUCUUUGGUAUGACCCGACUCGAGUUUGAUCCAAGAUCUCCCGACUUCGUAAAUUAUUGUAGUGAGUGAGUGCUUUGGGUUUAACGCCGUACUUAACACUCAUAUGACGACGAAAGAAUCCUUAGAGUACAUGUAGUGUGCCUGCUUGUUGCAGGACAGAUUUCCACCGCUCUUUAGCUAGUUUGUGGUAUCGAGUGCUGCUUCACUGUGACGCUUUACCGAAGGCAAGUAAGGCGCCCCGCCUGAGACAUUAUGCCUAAACGGAUCGUUGCACUUUCUCCUUCAUGCUGAACGCCAAACUUUCAAGGUCUUAGGUGUGACUCGACCCAGGAUUGACUCUGGAUCUACCGCUCCCAAAGCGGACGCUCUACCAACUGUGCUUUCGGAGCCGGUCAAAUUAAUAUGCCUUUCAGUGUAUGCGGUACAUUGCUGCCUACGUUUUGGCCGUCAUGGGAGGUAACCCAUCUCCGACAGCUGAAGACAUCCGAACCAUUGUCAGCAGUGUUGGAAUAGACAUCGACGAAUCUAGACUGAACAAAGUCAUCAGUGAGCUCGGGGAAAAGAUCUGGAAGAGUUGAUAGCGCAAGGUACUGAGCGACUGGCCACGGCCUUCGUCGGUGGGGGUGGGGGUGUUAAGACAGCGCCUGGUCCAGUCGAGGAGGGUGAUAAGCCCACUGAGGACAAACCAGCUGAAGCCGCCGGAGACGAUGAUGGAGAGUCUGAGGAAGAAGAUUUCGGCAUGGGGCUGUUUGACAUGUGAUCAUUGGCGGGAACUGGAACUCUUCAGUCAUUUCUCUAUAGAGUGCUUUACCGUUAUAUUAUCCAUACACACUGAUAUGCACCACGUGUGUGUGUGUGCGCGCUCACUAAAUAGAGGUCACCGUCAUAAGAAAUGGGUCAAAUAAUUCGUGUGCUUUCAAAACAACAUACAUGUCAGGUUGUUGUUGCACCGUUUUAGUGAGAAAAAUAAUUGUGUUGGUCCUGUCCCUACUGAAUGUGGCUCUACUAAAACAUGGAACAUAUCAUCAAAUAUUGUUGUCAGUAAAUUGUGGGUAUACACACACACACAAAUAUAUAUGCAGCCAAUGCAAGUCCGUUUAUGACACCGGCGAUCACAUGGAGUAAGACAUGCAUUCGAAUAGCAUUCCCAAUAGAACUAUACAUAUACAUAAAUUUUUGAAAUUAGAAGAUUAAUAUUUGUGUAAUACCCAUGGUUUGUUUUUAUGCAUAUGGUUAUUUAUUUUACAUUUUUAUGUCUUUUUAAGGAUAGAAUUCUUCCUUUUGCUUAAUCAUGGAACAACGUUUCAGGAGCCAACGCCGCAAGAAAGGGCUUGGCACGCAUCAAAUUGCUGUUUUGCUUAACUGGGGUGCAACAUUAGUGUGAAAUUUUCAGUGUGCAGUUUAUAUAGUGUACGUUUUUAGUGAGCAGUUUUAGUGUGCAGUUUUAGUAUGCAGUUUUAGUGUGUUUUUUCUGGACUGCAACAAUUCUGGAUUGAGAAAAUUAAAGGGUGAAGAUUUAAAGCUAACAACUCUUUAGACACUUAUAAAAAUAAGUUUUAUACGUUCUGGAGCUGAAAAGUAGGUGUAGUGCCGUUUUUA